This 787-nucleotide ribosomal RNA is filed under the name uncultured bacterium. RNAcentral describes it as "bacterial SSU rRNA". It matches the Rfam family "Bacterial small subunit ribosomal RNA", at positions 8 to 796 of the family's 1533-position model. The record is from RNAcentral.
AGAGUUUGAUCAUGGCUCAGGAUGAACGCUAGCGGCAGGCUUAACACAUGCAAGUCGAGGGGUAUAGUUCUUCGGAAUUAGAGACCGGCGCACGGGUGCGUAACGCGUAUGCAAUCUACCUUUUACAGAGGGAUAGCCCAGAGAAAUUUGGAUUAAUACCUCAUAGUAUUAUGAAAUGGCAUCAUUUUAUAAUUAAAGUCACAACGGUAAAAGAUGAGCAUGCGUCCCAUUAGCUAGUUGGUAAGGUAACGGCUUACCAAGGCUACGAUGGGUAGGGGUCCUGAGAGGGAGAUCCCCCACACUGGUACUGAGACACGGACCAGACUCCUACGGGAGGCAGCAGUGAGGAAUAUUGGUCAAUGGGCGCAAGCCUGAACCAGCCAUGCCGCGUGCAGGAUGACGGUCCUAUGGAUUGUAAACUGCUUUUGUACGGGAAGAAACAACUCUACGUGUAGAGUCUUGACGGUACCGUAAGAAUAAGGAUCGGCUAACUCCGUGCCAGCAGCCGCGGUAAUACGGAGGAUCCAAGCGUUAUCCGGAAUCAUUGGGUUUAAAGGGUCCGUAGGCGGUUUAGUAAGUCAGUGGUGAAAGCCCAUCGCUCAACGGUGGAACGGCCAUUGAUACUGCUAGACUUGAAUUAUUAGGAAGUAACUAGAAUAUGUAGUGUAGCGGUGAAAUGCUUAGAGAUUACAUGGAAUACCAAUUGCGAAGGCAGGUUACUACUAAUGGAUUGACGCUGAUGGACGAAAGCGUGGGUAGCGAACAGGAUUAGAUACCCUAGUAGUCC